GGACGGGUGAGUAAUGCCUGGGAAAUUGCCCUGNUGUGGGGGAUAACCAUUGGAAACGAUGGCUAAUACCGCAUAAUGUCUACGGACCAAAGAGGGGGACCUUCGGGCCUCUCGCUUCAGGAUAUGCCCAGGUGGGAUUAGCUAGUUGGUGAGGUAAUGGCUCACCAAGGCGACGAUCCCUAGCUGGUCUGAGAGGAUGAUCAGCCACACUGGAACUGAGACACGGUCCAGACUCCUACGGGAGGCAGCAGUGGGGAAUAUUGCACAAUGGGCGCAAGCCUGAUGCAGCCAUGCCGCGUGUAUGAAGAAGGCCUUCGGGUUGUAAAGUACUUUCAGUCGUGAGGAAGGCNNUGNNGUUAAUAGCUGCGUCGNUUGACGUUAGCGACAGAAGAAGCACCGGCUAACUCCGUGNCNGCAGCCGCGGUAAUACGGAGGNUGCGAGCGUUAAUC
Molecule: ribosomal RNA, 450 nt
Filed under: Vibrio sp. KR09-95
Lineage: Bacteria; Pseudomonadati; Pseudomonadota; Gammaproteobacteria; Vibrionales; Vibrionaceae
Description: bacterial SSU rRNA
Rfam family: Bacterial small subunit ribosomal RNA
Source: RNAcentral